GAACCCCCUCACCCAUUCUUAGUUUAAAUUCUUCCUGCUGGGAGCCGAGAUGGUGCGGGAGCCAGGUGGAGUCUCAACCUCUCCCCUCAGUGACGGACUCAGAGGUGGCCAUGGGACUUGGGAGUUGGCUGAAACAACAGGGAAGGAAGUAGGGAUAUUGUCCAGGAGAUUAGCGACAAAGGUCAUAGAGAGAUGACCACAAUUCACAUGGCUGUCACCUGGGGAGAGAUCCCAAAGUAAGAUCAAGAGAAACAAAGGGGAAAAAAGGUGAAGACAACAAUGUAAUUCAUGCUUUGAGUCCUUGGACCAAGCACUUCCUAAAGCCAGAAUUCCUAAGUAUGGGAGUGAAAAUGUUGACUCAGGGCUGGGCAAGGUAGCUCAGCUUGUAAUCCUAACACUUUGGGAGGCUGAGGAGGAAGAAUUGCUUAAGGCCAGGAGUUUGAGACUAGCUUGGGCAACAUAGCAAGACCCCUGUCUCUUAAAAAAAAAGAUGACUCAGCUUGACAUGAUUUCUAAUGUUUUACUCCAAGACCCCACUAACAUGCCUGAAAAAGAUAAAAAAUACCAAACUUGGAGAACCUGAGGCAAAGAUGGUGCAGUGCACAAGGACAGGAGAUGAGAGCACGUGACAGGUGUCCUACGGGCAGCUCGGGCCUCAGGCUCCCUGGCGAUUCCCAUGCACAGCCCCCGGGGAGAAGAGCCUUGUUGAUGUUGAUCAGCAGGGAAGGAGGGACGGCUACGAGAGAGGCUGGAGGACAGUGGAGACAUUCAGAUCCUGCUUCUGCGCAGGAAGGGCUGGACCUCAAGAUGAAUCGCAGUUUUGGGGACCUCUUCUUGCUACAAUUUUGUGCACCUGUAGACUCCAAUGGGUGCAUGCUGAUGGCCGUAUCAUUAUCUCCAGUCUGUGGAGAGGUCAACGGUACUCUCAGCCACCGUUUUCUGAGAACAAGUUUGCCACUGUUAUUGCCCACCCUGGACUGCAGUAGCAGAAGCCACAUGUGGUGCUCCCAGUAGAGGACGGGAUGCUCCGUCCUCGUCUGCCCCCUUCCCUUGGAUUGAUGGAUGCUUCUCCGCACAUUGGCCUGAAUUCUGCUCCACUCUUCCCUGUUGCAACAGCAAUUCCUCUAAAUUCAGUGGCGGUCGACCUGACCCUGCGUAUUUCUUGUCCCAGUGCCAUUUUCUUUACCUGGAAUACUGCUCUACCUCUUCUUUUAAAGUAUUGAAUUUUCAAUAUCUUGUAUGUUCCAGUUAAAAAUAUAUCAUAAACUCUUUU
RNAcentral lists this long non-coding RNA (1273 nucleotides) under Rhinopithecus bieti (black snub-nosed monkey). RNAcentral describes it as "lncRNA (ENSRBIG00000046085.1)". Lineage: Eukaryota; Metazoa; Chordata; Mammalia; Primates; Cercopithecidae. The record is from RNAcentral.